UCCCAGUUCGGAUUGCAGUCUGCAACUCGACUGCAUGAAGCUGGAAUCGCUAGUAAUCGUGAAUCAGAAUGUCACGGUGAAUACGUUCCCGGGUCUUGUACACACCGCCCGUCACACCAUGGGAGUCGGAUAUGCCCGAAGUCAGUGACCCAACCGCAAGGAGGGAGCUGCCGAAGGUGGAGCCGAUGACUGGGGUGAAGUCGUAACAAGGUAUC
Molecule: ribosomal RNA, 215 nt
Filed under: uncultured bacterium
Lineage: Bacteria
Description: partial 16S ribosomal RNA
Rfam family: Bacterial small subunit ribosomal RNA
Source: RNAcentral